Long non-coding RNA from Oncorhynchus nerka (sockeye salmon), 812 nucleotides. RefSeq lists it as uncharacterized. NCBI's taxonomy places the organism in Eukaryota, Metazoa, Chordata, Actinopteri, Salmoniformes, Salmonidae. The transcript has 6 exons. The record is from RefSeq and is a predicted model, not a curated record.
CUCAUGCAGCGCUACACAUCUCUUUCGCAUAGAGUUGAUCAGGCUGUUGAUUGUGGCCUGUGGAAUGAUGUCCCAUCUCUGGCAGGAACUGGAAUAUGCUGUUGUACACGUAGAUUCAGAGCAUCCCAAAUGUGCUCAAUAGGUGACACGUCUGAUAUCAGGCGACCACAAGAGCUGCUCUCUCUCCAGGGGAGGCUAGAUUGGUGGUCAAGUGUAAGGUUAUGUCACACUGGCUUUUGCAGUGUACCUUGCUGACAGCAUUUCAACAAUGCAUAAGGGAUGUCUCCAAAAAAUGCAGGAUGAGGCUAUAAAUGAUAUCAUACCAAAAUAUAACAUGGAUGCAAUGUGGAAAACGCACUGUGGAAGUUGGAGACCGAAGCAUUAUAACAAGACAAUCCUGCCUAAUUGCAUUUUCAAAUGGUCUCACUGCCCACUGCCCAGUGGAAAAUGCGUUAAUUACACACGGAUGAAUAUGGAGGAAUUGAGGAAGAUACAAUGUAGUUUGGCAUCUUCUGCAAAGGGUGAAGAGUGUGGGAAUCUGAAGGGCAUUCCGAAACGGCCAUGUAAACGUGCACAAGUUCCAUGCAAGUUCUUGGAAUGCUGGCAAAUUUUUGUAUCUGCAAACCUGAUUGAUAAUUUUUUUUAAAUCAUAGCCACAUUUAAAACCAGCAGCAAAAAAUCUGUUUGAUAUUGUUUUAUAAAUAAAAUAUUAAUCAAUUGUUUAUCAAGUAUUUUCUGUAAAAGUACUUAUGCAACCUUCUUCGGUUAAAUCUACCUAUGUUCUAUAUGAUUGCUUAUUUUCAGAUAUUACA